Molecule: long non-coding RNA, 649 nt
Filed under: Nicotiana tabacum (common tobacco)
Lineage: Eukaryota; Viridiplantae; Streptophyta; Magnoliopsida; Solanales; Solanaceae
Description: long non-coding RNA (NTAB_LNC012333)
Source: RNAcentral
UCCAUUUAGCACAAAAACAAGCAAAACUUAAACAAUAUCCAUGAACUAAAUAUUGAAUACAUAGAUUUGGAAAUAAACUAAAUCAGAACUCUAUUCUUCAAGCAAAUUCAUUCUUCACAUAAAUUCAUUUCUGCACAUUUUCAGCUCGUAGUCAUCAGAGGUACAAUUGUGUACCUGGAUAAGGGAAAAUAUGUGAAGAAAAGAAGUCAGUACUUUGAACAGCAACAGCAACACAACUCAGCAGUAUAGCAUCACAGAACAAGCCAGGAAAUGAUUUUGAAAACCAGAAAUACAAGCAGACUCAACAGAUCAAUUCAACAUACACUUAAAAUGCACUCCUAGCCCUCACAGCUGAACCUAGAUGCCUCUGAAAUCCCGUUGGACCUAAAACCCAACUGAAAUCCAAACUAAUAGGCCCCAAAUUCACCUGAAUCAGUCGUUAAUCACUUCUAAACACUUUUAAAAAUAGAACCUCGAGCUGGAAUAAAGAAUGCCCAAGGAAGGACUGAGAAUCACUAACACUAGUAAUGAAAUAGUAAAACUGUUUUUGAUUUUUUCAUUUUUUGAUGUUUUAUUUUUUGAGUACUGGAAUUGAAAUGCUAGCUGAAAUUGAAAGCAGGGAGGAGAGCUUUUGGUGAGGAUUUUUGGG